GAUGAACGCUGGCGGCGGGCCUAAUACAUGCAAGUCGAGCGAACAGACGAGGAGCUUUCUCUCCUUACGUUAGCGGCGGACGGGUGAGUAACACGUGGAUAACCUACCUAUAUGACUGGGAUAACUUCGUGAAACCGGAGCCAAUACCGGAUAAUAUAUUGAACCGCAUAGUUCAAUAGUUUAAGGCGGCUUUGCUGUCACUUAUAGAUGGAUCCGCGCCGCAUUAGCUAGGUGGUAAGGUAACGGCUUACCAAGGCAACGAUGCGUAGCCGACCUGAGAGGAUGAUCGGCCACACUGGAACUGAGACACGGUCCAGACUCCUACGGGAGGCAGCAGUGGGGAAUAUUGCACAAUGGGCGAAAGCCUGACGGAGCCAUGCCGCGUGAGUGAAGAAGGUCUUCGGAUUGUAAAGCUCUUUUAUUGGGGAAGAACAAAUGUAUGAGAAUCUCUGCACGUCUUGACGGUACCUAAAGAAAAAGCAACGGCUAACUCCGUG
Molecule: ribosomal RNA, 497 nt
Filed under: uncultured bacterium
Lineage: Bacteria
Description: partial 16S ribosomal RNA
Rfam family: Bacterial small subunit ribosomal RNA
Source: RNAcentral